GUCUUUAAGAAUUUAAUUUAAAGUCUAAUCUGCCCAAUGAUUUUUUAAAUGGCUGCAGAAUUUUAACUGUACAAAGGUAGCAUAAUAAUUUGUUUUUUAAUUAAAAACUAGAAUGAAAGAUUUAAUGAAAUAUAAACUGUUUCAAUUAAUUUAUUAUUAAAUUUUUUAUUUAAGUAAAAAAACUUAAAUAAAUUUUUAAGACGACAAGACCCUAUAGAAUUUUAUUUAUUGAAUUAAUUUUUUUUAUUCAAUAAAUUUUAUUGGGGUAAUAAAAAAAUUUAAAAAAUUUUUUUUUAAAAUUACAUUUUUAAUGAAUUUUUUAUCUUAAUAUUUAAAUUAAAAAAAUUAAUUACCUUAGGGAUAACAGCAUAAUUUUUUUUAAAAGAUCUUAUUAAUAAAAAAGAUUAU
Molecule: ribosomal RNA, 408 nt
Filed under: Pycnobracon sp.
Lineage: Eukaryota; Metazoa; Arthropoda; Insecta; Hymenoptera; Braconidae
Description: partial 16S ribosomal RNA
Source: RNAcentral